This 497-nucleotide ribosomal RNA is filed under the name uncultured bacterium. RNAcentral's name for it is "partial 16S ribosomal RNA". It matches the Rfam family "Bacterial small subunit ribosomal RNA", at positions 29 to 507 of the family's 1533-position model. The record is from RNAcentral.
ACGCACGCUGGCGGCGUGCCUAAUACAUGCAAGUCGAGCGGACGGAUGGGAGCUUGCUCCCAGACCGUCAGCGGCGGACGGGUGAGUAACACGUGGGCAACCUGCCUGUAAGACUGGGAUAACUCCGGGAAACCGGGGCUAAUACCGGAUAACUCUUUCCCUCACAUGAGGGAAAGCUGAAAGAUGGCAUCUCGCUAUCACUUACAGAUGGGCCCGCGGCGCAUUAGCUAGUUGGUGAGGUAACGGCUCACCAAGGCGACGAUGCGUAGCCGACCUGAGAGGGUGAUCGGCCACACUGGGACUGAGACACGGCCCAGACUCCUACGGGAGGCAGCAGUAGGGAAUCUUCCGCAAUGGACGAAAGUCUGACGGAGCAACGCCGCGUGAGUGAUGAAAGUUUUCGGAUCGUAAAACUCUGUUGUCAGGGAAGAACAAGUACCGGAGUAACUGCCGGUACCUUGACGGUACCUGACCAGAAAGCCACGGCUAACUACGUG